Molecule: ribosomal RNA, 251 nt
Filed under: uncultured soil bacterium
Lineage: Bacteria
Description: partial 16S ribosomal RNA
Rfam family: Bacterial small subunit ribosomal RNA
Source: RNAcentral
AGGACGAACGCUGGCGGCGUGCUUAACACAUGCAAGUCACGGGGGCCCGCAAGGGUAACCGGCGAACGGGUGCGUAACACGUAAGCGACCUGCCGAUCUGCGGGGGAUAGCCGGCCCAACGGCCGGGUAAUACCGCAUACGCUCUUUGGGCUUCAUGGCCUGGGGAGGAAACCUCCGGGGCGGAUCGAGGGGCUUGCGGCCUAUCAGCUAGUUGGUGAGGUAACGGCUCACCAAGGCGGUGACGGGUAGCU